GUGGUCGUAGCUCAGUUGGCUAGAGCAUCGGAUUGUGGCUCCGAAGGCCGUGGGUUCGAGUCCCAUUGACCACC
This 74-nucleotide transfer RNA is filed under the name Thermoguttaceae bacterium. RNAcentral describes it as "tRNA-His". It matches the Rfam family "tRNA". From Rfam's summary of the family: Transfer RNA (tRNA) molecules are approximately 80 nucleotides in length. The record is from RNAcentral. Lineage: Bacteria; Pseudomonadati; Planctomycetota; Planctomycetia; Pirellulales; Thermoguttaceae.